CCUACGGGUGGCAGCAGUGGGGAAUAUUGCGCAAUGGGCGAAAGCCUGACGCAGCGACGCCGCGUGAGGGAUGAAGGUCUUCGGAUCGUAAACCUCUGUCAGCAGGGAAGAACGGUCACUGUGCUAAUCAGCAGUGAAUUGACGGUACCUGCAAAGGAAGCACCGGCUAACUCCGUGCCAGCAGCCGCGGUAAUACGUAGGUGGCAAGCGUUAUCCGGAAUGACUGGGCGUAAAGGGUGCGUAGGUGGUUUAGUAAGUUGGCGGUGUAAUUCCGGGGCUCAACCUCGGCGCUACCGCCAAAACUAUUAGACUAGAGUGCAGGAGGGGUAAGUGGAAUUCCUAGUGUAGCGGUGGAAUGCGUAGAUAUUAGGAGGAACAUCAGGGGCGAAGGCGACUUACUGGACUGUAACUGACACUGAGGCACGAAAGCGUGGGGAGCAAACAGGAUUAGAUACCCCAGUAGUC
Molecule: ribosomal RNA, 465 nt
Filed under: uncultured bacterium
Lineage: Bacteria
Description: partial 16S ribosomal RNA
Rfam family: Bacterial small subunit ribosomal RNA
Source: RNAcentral